AACGAACGCUGGCGGCAUGCCUAACACAUGCAAGUCGAACGAGACCUUCGGGUCUAGUGGCGCACGGGUGCGUAACGCGUGGGAAUCUGCCCUUGGGUUCGGAAUAACUCGCCGAAAGGCGUGCUAAUACCGGAUGAUGACGUAAGUCCAAAGAUUUAUCGCCCAAGGAUGAGCCCGCGUUGGAUUAGCUAGUUGGUGAGGUAAAGGCUCACCAAGGCGACGAUCCAUAGCUGGUCUGAGAGGAUGAUCAGCCACACUGGGACUGAGACACGGCCCAGACUCCUACGGGAGGCAGCAGUGGGGAAUAUUAGACAAGGGGCGAAAGCCUGAUCCAGCAAUGCCGCGUGAGUGAUGAAGGCCUUAGGGUUGUAAAGCUCUUUUACCCGGGAUGAUAAUGACCGUACCGGGAGAAUAAGCACCGGCUAACUCCGUG
RNAcentral lists this ribosomal RNA (433 nucleotides) under uncultured bacterium. Its description in RNAcentral is "partial 16S ribosomal RNA". It matches the Rfam family "Bacterial small subunit ribosomal RNA", at positions 29 to 507 of the family's 1533-position model. The record is from RNAcentral.